RNAcentral lists this ribosomal RNA (796 nucleotides) under uncultured Rubrobacter sp. Its description in RNAcentral is "bacterial SSU rRNA". It matches the Rfam family "Bacterial small subunit ribosomal RNA", at positions 8 to 796 of the family's 1533-position model. The record is from RNAcentral. Lineage: Bacteria; Bacillati; Actinomycetota; Rubrobacteria; Rubrobacterales; Rubrobacteraceae.
AGAGUUUGAUCAUGGCUCAGGAUCAACGCUGGCGGCGUGCCUAAUGCAUGCAAGUCGAACGGGGGUUCCUUCGGGGACCUUACGUGGCGGACGGGUGAGGAACACGUGGCCAAUCUGCCCACUGGCAGGGGGUAGCCGGCGGAAACGCCGGGUAAUUCCGUAUGAGCUCAGGGUCCGAGUGGGGAUGCUGAGGAAAGGGUCUUCGGACUCGCCGGUGGAGGAGGCUGCGGCCGAUUAGCUAGUUGGUGGGGUAACGGCCUACCAAGGCGACGAUGCGUAGCUGGUCUGAGAGGAUGAUCAGCCACACUGGGACUGAGACACGGCCCAGACUCCUACGGGAGGCAGCAGCCAGGAAUCUUGGGCAAUGGGCGAAAGCCUGACCCAGCAACACCGUGUGGGCGAUGAAGGCUCUAGGGUCGUAAAGCCCUGUUGAUAGGGACGAAGGGCGAAGGGUUAAUAGCCCCUAGCUUGACGGUACCUUUCGAGGAAGCCCCGGCUAACUACGUGCCAGCAGCCGCGGUAAUACGUAGGGGGCGAGCGUUGUCCGGAAUUAUUGGGCGUAAAGAGCGUGUAGGCGGUUCGGUAAGUCUGCUGUGAAAUCCUGGGGCUCAACCCUGGGCGUGCAGCGGAUACUGCCGGGCUAGAGGGUGGUAGAGGCGAGUGGAAUUCCGAGUGUAGCGGUGAAAUGCGCAGAUAUUCGGAGGAACACCAGUAGCGAAGGCGGCUCGCUGGGCCACACCUGACGCUGAGACGCGAAAGCGUGGGGAGCGAACAGGAUUAGAUACCCUCGUAGUCC